RNAcentral lists this unclassified non-coding RNA (1078 nucleotides) under Hevea brasiliensis (rubber tree). Lineage: Eukaryota; Viridiplantae; Streptophyta; Magnoliopsida; Malpighiales; Euphorbiaceae. The record is from RNAcentral.
GCUUAGUGGCUGAUUUCCAACAGAAGAAACCAUUGGCUUUGAAUCCAAAGUUUGUGCAUGGGCUCAGAAGCAUACUUUGUGACUCCAGUUUGGAUAAAGAAUUUAUUGCAAAGGCAAUAACUCUGCCUGGUGAAGGAGAAAUAAUGGACAUGAUGGAAGUUGCAGACCCUGAUGCUGUUCAUGCUGUUCGAUCUUUUAUGAGGAAGCAGAUUGCCGCUGAACUGAAAGCAGAGUUUCUAACCACAGUUGAAAAUAAUAGGAGCUCAGAAGAAUAUGUGUUUAACCAUCCUAACAUGGCUAGGCGUGCUUUGAAAAAUGUUGCCUUAGCAUAUCUUGCAUCACUGGAAGAUGAGGAGAUAACAAAGCUUGAACUACAUGAAUACAGAACUGCCACAAAUAUGACGGAACAAUUUGCAGCUUUGGCAGCCAUAGCCCAUAACCCUGGUAAAAUGCGUGAUGAAGUCUUGGCUGACUUCUACAACAAAUGGCAGCAUGACUUUUUGGUUGUGAAUAAGUGGUUUGCCCUCCAAGCCAUGUCUGACAUUCCUGGUAAUGUUGAGAAUGUCCGAAACCUCUUCAAUCAUCCAGCAUUUGACCUGCGUAAUCCAAACAAUGUAUACUCGCUCAUUGGAGGAUUUUGCAGUUCUCCUGUGAAUUUCCAUGCAAAGGAUGGAUCAGGCUAUCAGUUCUUAGGCGAGAUAGUGGCGCAAUUAGACAAAAUUAAUCCUCAGGUGGCCUCCCGCUUGGUGUCAGCCUUCUCAAGGUGGAGGCGCUAUGAUGAAACCCGGCAAACUUUUGCCAAGGCACAGCUGGAGAUGAUCAUGUCUGCCAAUGGACUCUCUGAGAACGUCUUUGAGAUUGCCUCUAAAAGUUUGUCUGCUUAAAUGCUGGUAGUUGUUAUCAAUGCGAAAUAAGCAUGCUUAACUCAUUUUCAAGACCACCAUAAUAAUUAAUAAGUGUGUUUUUGCCCUUAAUACUUGCCUCUGCUGUAGCAGCAGUUGCUGCAUUCUGUAGCUCUCCAAACAAAUUUAUGUGUGAAAUGAUGUGCAAAGGUAACCAAAGUAAAAGAGUUCUGGUA